GACGAACGCUGGCGGCGUGCCUAACACAUGCAAGUCGAACGGAGUUAAGUCUUCGGAUUUAACUUAGUGGCGAACGGGUGAGUAACGCGUGAGGAACCUGCCUUUCAGUGGGGGACAACAGUUGGAAACGACUGCUAAUACCGCAUAACAUGUACGGAUCGCAUGGUCUGUACAUCAAAGCUUUAUGUGCUGAAAGAUGGCCUCGCGUCUGAUUAGCUAGUUGGUGAGGUAACGGCUCACCAAGGCGACGAUCAGUAGCCGGUCUGAGAGGAUGAACGGCCACAUUGGGACUGAGAUACGGCCCAGACUCCUACGGGAGGCAGCAGUCGGGAAUAUUGCGCAAUGGAGGAAACUCUGACGCAGUGACGCCGCGUGCAGGAAGAAGGUUUUCGGAUUGUAAACUGCUUUAGACAGGGAAGAAAUAAGACAGUACCUGCAAAGAAAGCUCCGGCUAACUACGUG
RNAcentral lists this ribosomal RNA (462 nucleotides) under uncultured bacterium. RNAcentral describes it as "bacterial SSU rRNA". It matches the Rfam family "Bacterial small subunit ribosomal RNA", at positions 28 to 507 of the family's 1533-position model. The record is from RNAcentral.